Molecule: non-coding RNA, 313 nt
Filed under: Proboscia alata
Lineage: Eukaryota; Bacillariophyta; Melosirophyceae; Probosciales; Probosciaceae
Source: RNAcentral
ACAUCUAAGGAAGAAACAUGCUAGAAGAAAAAGAAAAAAAUCAAUAAAGGAAAAGGAUAUGACACGUACGCAUCAGUUUUAGUGAUUUCAAUCGUCUCUUUGUCCCCCGUCCCCAAUAUCAACAAUACAUUUCGUUUCGGAUCCCCCCCCCCUCGCCUUUUUCAUGGUUUAUAACCCGCAGUCAUACGAAUGUGGGGGGGGCGGGUGUUGAAAUAGGAACAGAAGAAUUGGAGAUCUGUUCAUAGAUUCAUGUUGGUUGUUUAAGAAGAUGUUUGUCGGCGUGCAAGACAAAACAGAAUAGAACUGUUCUAAA